This 72-nucleotide transfer RNA is filed under the name Ovis aries (sheep). It matches the Rfam family "tRNA". From Rfam's summary of the family: Transfer RNA (tRNA) molecules are approximately 80 nucleotides in length. Their secondary structure includes four short double-helical elements and three loops (D, anti-codon, and T loops). Further hydrogen bonds mediate the characteristic L-shaped molecular structure. tRNAs have two regions of fundamental functional importance: the anti-codon, which is responsible for specific mRNA codon recognition, and the 3' end, to which the tRNAs corresponding amino acid is attached (by aminoacyl-tRNA synthetases). tRNAs cope with the degeneracy of the genetic code in two manners: having more than one tRNA (with a specific anti-codon) for a particular amino acid; and 'wobble' base-pairing, i.e. permitting non-standard base-pairing at the 3rd anti-codon position. The record is from Rfam by way of RNAcentral. Lineage: Eukaryota; Metazoa; Chordata; Mammalia; Artiodactyla; Bovidae.
UCCCUGGUGGCUCAGACGGUAAAGCGUCUGUCUUUGAUGUGGGAGACCCAGGUUCGAUCCCUGGUUUGUGAU